GGAUUGCUAGAUGUCAAGGCUGAUUUCACUGGACGAAACUUUUUGCUCGAUAAACUCGUAGAGAAUGCGAUGCAACAUCGUCGAUAGUCAUCACUAUUGCUCGCUUGGUGAUAGAGGAAACAUACAUAUCCAUCUUCCUUGCAAGCGUUUGACUUUGGUAGACGAUCGAGGAAAUUAUUUUCGUUAAUUUAUGAUAAAAUUAAAGCAGAAGAAAAAGAAGUGAAAGUAAAUAGCGUAAUUUCUUGCCGUUCAGAUUUCUCUUGGACAAAUCGAAUUGGAGAGAUUCGACUUUGGUAACUUCACUUUUCCGUAAAAGCGUAUCGUGUAUUUUUCGAAACGUUUAAAGAUCGAUAAUCAAAUUUGUACAAGAAUGUACGAGAGCUCGAGGAAAUGUCCGAUUAUAAAUCGAUGAUUUUUACAUGACAGCACGCAGACUUAAACAAUUAUAUAAUAAUUGUAUCUUAUCUACUUGUUAGAAGAAAAAUUUACUGCAAGAGAAUUCGUGUGAAAAACAUACAAACUCGUUCUCUCGCUAACAUGUACGUAUAUAAUAAAUAUUUUAUCACUGUGUUGCAAAGUGAAUCAUUAUUUACAUAGCAGGAUUGUGAUCGACAUUGCAUGAUUAAUGAAAAUCGUUCAACGAUGUAUGUAAAUUGACAUGUAAAUGAAAAUAAAUUAUUAAUUUAUUUUGUUACUCUAGAUCAAGCAUCAUGACAAAUAAAAUACGUCCAUUCGUGUAUUAUAAUACCGAUAUACAUACAUAAUAACUGCUUCAAGGUUUCUAUGAUGUAUAGUUCGGUUACAUAAUAAUUGCAUGUUUAUGCAAAUGUUUAGAUUAAAGUUAGAUUAAGUUUAAAUUACAAAACGGGAGGCUCAUAAACAUUUAGCUUUUCUUAAGAAAAUAAAUAUUAUUGACGAUACAGGUAGUAGUAGUGUAAUAACGAUACAAUGCGUAUAAACAUAGGUGAUAAUUAACGUACGAGUUCUCUCGCGAUUUAUUUGAAUCGUACUUCAGGAACUGUAUCAGCGUUUCCUUUCUUGCUCGCGCAAACGGGUUUUCUGAAUUGACCGUGAACGUAAAACGCAAUUUAGAGCGAAACUGGUCUCCAGUGCAUUGUGAUAAUCGCACAAUUAAAAAUCUCAAGAAAAAAUAAUUACGCGAUUGUAAUCGAAGGUUGCGAAUUUCUUGAAUGUAUAAUUGCAAAUUAUAUCCAACGUUGAGGUAAUUUAAAAUGAAAGUAAAUUAGUGGCACAAAGAAUGUAUCGUUAGAUUUUUGCACCGUAUUAACGGAACUUUGUCAAAAUGUAUUAUUAAAUUAAUAUAAUUUAAUCGAUUACGAUGUAUACGAAGCAACAAUUAAUUUUUUACCAAAGUUUCUUCAUUUCGUUUCGGUUUACGUUUCAACGACGUUGCGGAAAUUCCGAAGAAAAUUCAUGUUUUAAGAACAAAGCUGACGAUAUACGGAAUAAAA
Long non-coding RNA from Bombus pascuorum, 1472 nucleotides. RefSeq lists it as uncharacterized. The transcript has 2 exons. The record is from RefSeq and is a predicted model, not a curated record. Lineage: Eukaryota; Metazoa; Arthropoda; Insecta; Hymenoptera; Apidae.